AAGGCUGAUGAGGUAGUUUAUAAAGCUGCGAGUGUUCUUUCUUCGCAGAUUUUAGGCUAUCUCGACAGCCUC
RNAcentral lists this microRNA precursor (72 nucleotides) under Toxocara canis (dog roundworm). Its description in RNAcentral is "mir-84 microRNA precursor family". It matches the Rfam family "mir-84 microRNA precursor family". The record is from Rfam by way of RNAcentral. Lineage: Eukaryota; Metazoa; Nematoda; Chromadorea; Rhabditida; Toxocaridae.